RNAcentral lists this ribosomal RNA (682 nucleotides) under uncultured Lachnospiraceae bacterium. Its description in RNAcentral is "bacterial SSU rRNA". It matches the Rfam family "Bacterial small subunit ribosomal RNA", at positions 70 to 762 of the family's 1533-position model. Lineage: Bacteria; Bacillati; Bacillota; Clostridia; Lachnospirales; Lachnospiraceae. The record is from RNAcentral.
GAAGUUUUCGGAUGGAAGAGAGUUCAGCUUAGUGGCGAACGGGUGAGUAACACGUGAGCAACCUGCCUUUCAGUGGGGGACAACAUUUGGAAACGAAUGCUAAUACCGCAUAAGACCACAGUGUCGCAUGGCACAGGGGUCAAAGGAUUUAUCCGCUGAAAGAUGGGCUCGCGUCCGAUUAGCUAGAUGGUGAGGUAACGGCCCACCAUGGCGACGAUCGGUAGCCGGACUGAGAGGUUGAACGGCCACAUUGGGACUGAGACACGGCCCAGACUCCUACGGGAGGCAGCAGUGGGGAAUAUUGCACAAUGGGGGAAACCCUGAUGCAGCGACGCCGCGUGGAGGAAGAAGGUCUUCGGAUUGUAAACUCCUGUCCCAGGGGACGAUAAUGACGGUACCCUGGGAGGAAGCACCGGCUAACUACGUGCCAGCAGCCGCGGUAAAACGUAGGGUGCAAGCGUUGUCCGGAAUUACUGGGUGUAAAGGGAGCGCAGGCGGAUUGGCAAGUUGGGAGUGAAAUCUAUGGGCUCAACCCAUAAAUUGCUUUCAAAACUGUCAGUCUUGAGUGGUGUAGAGGUAGGCGGAAUUCCCGGUGUAGCGGUGGAAUGCGUAGAUAUCGGGAGGAACACCAGUGGCGAAGGCGGCCUACUGGGCACUAACUGACGCUGAGGCUCGAAAGCAU